CGGGUGAGUAACGCGUGAGGAACCUGCCUCAAAGAGGGGGACGACAGUUGGAAACGACUGCUAAUACCGCAUAAGCCCACGGCUCGGCAUCGAGCAGAGGGAAAAGGAGCAAUCCGCUUUGAGAUGGCCUCGCGUCCGAUUAGCUAGUUGGUGAGGUAACGGCCCACCAAGGCAACGAUCGGUAGCCGGACUGAGAGGUUGAACGGCCACAUUGGGACUGAGACACGGCCCAG
This 233-nucleotide ribosomal RNA is filed under the name uncultured bacterium. RNAcentral describes it as "partial 16S ribosomal RNA". It matches the Rfam family "Bacterial small subunit ribosomal RNA", at positions 103 to 334 of the family's 1533-position model. The record is from RNAcentral.